This 156-nucleotide non-coding RNA is filed under the name uncultured Alistipes sp. Lineage: Bacteria; Pseudomonadati; Bacteroidota; Bacteroidia; Bacteroidales; Rikenellaceae. The record is from RNAcentral.
CCGGUCUCAUGGAUUAAAAGGGAAUCGGGUGCAAGUCCCGAACAGUCCCGCUGCUGUGAAGCUCCACCAAUUCUGACGAACAUCAUGACCACUGACACGACGUGUCGGGAAGGUUUCGCAGAAGGAGUCAGUCAGAAGACCUGCCAUCGAAUUUAU